Molecule: ribosomal RNA, 245 nt
Filed under: uncultured bacterium
Lineage: Bacteria
Description: partial small subunit ribosomal RNA
Rfam family: Bacterial small subunit ribosomal RNA
Source: RNAcentral
AGAAUCAACGCUGGCGGCGUGCCUAACACAUGCAAGUCGCACGAGAAACGGAUUUCGGUCCUGAGUACAGUGGCGCACGGGUGAGUAACACGUGAAUCAUCUACCUUCGAGUGGGGAAUAACUGAGAGAAAUCUUAGCUAAUACCGCAUAAUACCCACGGGUCAAAGCAGCAAUGCGCUUGAAGAGGAGUUCGCGGCAGAUUAGUUAGUUGGCGGGGUAAUGGCCCACCAAGACGAUGAUCUGUA